This 27-nucleotide non-coding RNA is filed under the name Rattus norvegicus (Norway rat). The record is from RNAcentral. Lineage: Eukaryota; Metazoa; Chordata; Mammalia; Rodentia; Muridae.
AGAAUUCACUGUUGUGUGGAACCUAGG